RNAcentral lists this ribosomal RNA (253 nucleotides) under uncultured bacterium. Its description in RNAcentral is "partial 16S ribosomal RNA". It matches the Rfam family "Bacterial small subunit ribosomal RNA", at positions 524 to 776 of the family's 1533-position model. The record is from RNAcentral.
UACGUAGGGUGCGAGCGUUGUCCGGAAUUACUGGGCGUAAAGAGCUCGUAGGUGGUUUGUCGCGUUGUUCGUGAAAACUCACAACUCAAUUGUGGGCGUGCGGGCGAUACGGGCAGACUGGAGUACUGCAGGGGAGACUGGAAUUCCAGGUGUAGCGGUGAAAUGCGUAGAUAUCUGGAGGAACACCGGUGGCGAAGGCGGCAUCCUGGACCGACACUGACGCUGAGGAGCGAAAGCCAGGGGAGCAAACGGG